This 243-nucleotide ribosomal RNA is filed under the name uncultured Lactobacillus sp. RNAcentral describes it as "partial 16S ribosomal RNA". It matches the Rfam family "Bacterial small subunit ribosomal RNA", at positions 119 to 355 of the family's 1533-position model. Lineage: Bacteria; Bacillati; Bacillota; Bacilli; Lactobacillales; Lactobacillaceae. The record is from RNAcentral.
GGGUAACCUGCCCAAGAGAUCGGGAUAACACCUGGAAACAGAUGCUAAUACCGGAUAACAACAGAUGAUGCCUAUCAACUGUUUAAAAGAUGGUUAUGCUAUCACUCUUGGAUGGACCUGCGGUGCAUUAGCUAGUUGGUAGGGUAACGGCCUACCAAGGCGAUGAUGCAUAGCCGAGUUGAGAGACUGGUCGGCCACAUUGGGACUGAGACACGGCCCAAACUCCUACGGGAGGCAGCAGUC